UUCCGGAGGUGAACUUGCGGAAGGAUCAUUA
This 31-nucleotide ribosomal RNA is filed under the name Diplodia seriata. RNAcentral's name for it is "partial 18S ribosomal RNA". Lineage: Eukaryota; Fungi; Ascomycota; Dothideomycetes; Botryosphaeriales; Botryosphaeriaceae. The record is from RNAcentral.